This 253-nucleotide ribosomal RNA is filed under the name uncultured bacterium. RNAcentral describes it as "partial 16S ribosomal RNA". It matches the Rfam family "Bacterial small subunit ribosomal RNA", at positions 524 to 776 of the family's 1533-position model. The record is from RNAcentral.
UACGGAGGAUCCAAGCGUUAUCCGGAUUCAUUGGGUUUAAAGGGUGCGUAGGCGGAAGAGUAAGUCAGUGGUGAAAGCCUGCAGCUUAACUGCAGAAUUGCCAUUGAUACUGCUCAUCUUGAGUACAUUUAAUGUGGGCGGAAUGUGUCAUGUAGCGGUGAAAUGCAUAGAUAUGACACAGAACACCGAUUGCGAAGGCAGCUCACAAAACUGUAACUGACGCUGAGGCACGAAAGCGUGGGGAUCGAGCAGG